AUCAGGAUGGCCAAGCGGUUAAGGUGUUAGCCUUAAACCCCAAUGAGUGAAAGGCUGUGUGGGUUUAAACCCCACACCUGGUC
RNAcentral lists this transfer RNA (83 nucleotides) under Lepisosteus oculatus (spotted gar). It matches the Rfam family "tRNA". From Rfam's summary of the family: Transfer RNA (tRNA) molecules are approximately 80 nucleotides in length. Their secondary structure includes four short double-helical elements and three loops (D, anti-codon, and T loops). Further hydrogen bonds mediate the characteristic L-shaped molecular structure. tRNAs have two regions of fundamental functional importance: the anti-codon, which is responsible for specific mRNA codon recognition, and the 3' end, to which the tRNAs corresponding amino acid is attached (by aminoacyl-tRNA synthetases). tRNAs cope with the degeneracy of the genetic code in two manners: having more than one tRNA (with a specific anti-codon) for a particular amino acid; and 'wobble' base-pairing, i.e. permitting non-standard base-pairing at the 3rd anti-codon position. The record is from Rfam by way of RNAcentral. Lineage: Eukaryota; Metazoa; Chordata; Actinopteri; Semionotiformes; Lepisosteidae.